RNAcentral lists this ribosomal RNA (375 nucleotides) under uncultured bacterium. RNAcentral describes it as "bacterial SSU rRNA". It matches the Rfam family "Bacterial small subunit ribosomal RNA", at positions 335 to 708 of the family's 1533-position model. The record is from RNAcentral.
ACUCCUACGGGAGGCAGCAGUAGGGAAUAUUGGACAAUGGGCGGAAGCCUGAUCCAGCCAUGCCGCGUGCAGGAAGACGGCCCUCUGGGUUGUAAACUGCUUUUAUAUGGGAAGAAAAGGGCUUUGCGAAGCACAUUGACGGUACCAUAGGAAUAAGCCACGGCUAACUCCGUGCCAGCAGCCGCGGUAAUACGGAGGGUGCAAGCGUUAAUCGGAAUUACUGGGCGUAAAGCGUGCGCAGGCGGUCUGUUAAGCGAGAUGUGAAAGCCCCGGGCUCAACCUGGGAACUGCAUUUCGAACUGGCAGACUAGAGUCUUGUAGAGGGGGUAGAAUUCCAGGUGUAGCGGUGAAAGUGCGUAGAGAUCUGGAGGAAUA